Molecule: ribosomal RNA, 490 nt
Filed under: uncultured bacterium
Lineage: Bacteria
Description: partial 16S ribosomal RNA
Rfam family: Bacterial small subunit ribosomal RNA
Source: RNAcentral
AUUGAACGCUGGCGGCAGGCUUAACACAUGCAAGUCGAGCGGUAGCACAGGGGAGCUUGCUCCCUGGGUGACGAGCGGCGGACGGGUGAGUAAUGUCUGUGAAACUGCCUGAUGGAGGGGGAUAACUACUGGAAACGGUAGCUAAUACCGCAUAACGUCACAAGACCAAAGAGGGGGACCUUCGGGCCUCUUGCCCUCAGAUGUGCCCAGAUGGGAUUAGCGAGUAGGUGGGGUAAUGGCUCACCUAGGCGACGAUCCCUAGCUGGUCUGAGAGGAUGACCAGCCACACUGGAACUGAGACACGGUCCAGACUCCUACGGGAGGCAGCAGUGGGGAAUAUUGCACAAUGGGCGCAAGCCUGAUGCAGCCAUGCCGCGUGUGUGAAGAAGGCCUUCGGGUUGUAAAGCACUUUCAGCGAGGAGGAAGGUGGUGAGCUUAAUACGUUCAUCAAUUGACGUUACUCGCAGAAGAAGCACCGGCUAACUCCGUG